GACGAACGCUGGCGGCGUGCUUAACACAUGCAAGUCGAACGGAAAGGCCCUGCUUUUGUGGGGUGCUCGAGUGGCGAACGGGUGAGUAACACGUGAGUAACCUGCCCUUGACUUUGGGAUAACUUCAGGAAACUGGGGCUAAUACCGGAUAGGAGCUCCUGCUGCAUGGUGGGGGUUGGAAAGUUUCGGCGGUUGGGGAUGGACUCGCGGCUUAUCAGCUUGUUGGUGGGGUAGUGGCUUACCAAGGCUUUGACGGGUAGCCGGCCUGAGAGGGUGACCGGCCACAUUGGGACUGAGAUACGGCCCAGACUCGUACGGGAGGCAGCAGUGGGGAAUAUUGCACAAUGGGCGGAAGCCUGAUGCAGCAACGCCGCGUGCGGGAUGACGGCCUUCGGGUUGUAAACCGCUUUCGCCUGUGACGAAGCGUGAGUGACGGUAAUGGGUAAAGAAGCACCGGCUAACUACGUG
This 468-nucleotide ribosomal RNA is filed under the name uncultured bacterium. RNAcentral's name for it is "partial 16S ribosomal RNA". It matches the Rfam family "Bacterial small subunit ribosomal RNA", at positions 28 to 507 of the family's 1533-position model. The record is from RNAcentral.